Molecule: long non-coding RNA, 536 nt
Filed under: Pan troglodytes (chimpanzee)
Lineage: Eukaryota; Metazoa; Chordata; Mammalia; Primates; Hominidae
Description: long non-coding RNA NONPTRT014126
Source: RNAcentral
UGGAAACAUUUUCAGUGAUUUAGUCAGUUCUUAGAAUCAUGAUGAGCUUGUAAAAUAGAGGCAUCAUAGAGAUAGGUGCUGUUUGAAUUCAUGUCUGUCCCAUCCCAAGGUUGGAUCUUCCAGCUUUAUAGGCUGGAGGAGGAAACGGGGUCAGAGGGAGAAAAGAGAGCUGCAUGUGGGAUUUACCUUCACUAGCCUGGCCCACCUGGGUUGCCCUGGAAGGUCUAGAGUGGGGUGAAGGCAACAUAGUAGACAUUUGCAAUUAAUUCAAAUACUUAUUUUUCUCACAUCACAAAAAGCUUAAAAAGAAAAGACUCCAAGUUAAGUUUAAUGGCUCAAGGAUGUUGUCAAGGAUGCAUAUUCCUUCUGUCUUUGUUCUCUGCCGUCCUCUGUUUGUCAGCUACUUUUCCCUCACGGCCAUAAGAUGGCUGCACGGCUCCAAAAUCAUGUUCUUCACUUGACAGCUUCCCAAAAAGGAAGGCAGAGAAGUGGGCAAAAUACUUUCCUUCUAUGAGUGGCUACUUUUUAACAAGAAA